GUCACCAUGGUGUAGUUGGUU
Molecule: unclassified non-coding RNA, 21 nt
Filed under: Chlamydomonas reinhardtii
Lineage: Eukaryota; Viridiplantae; Chlorophyta; Chlorophyceae; Chlamydomonadales; Chlamydomonadaceae
Description: small RNA Cre_2009
Source: RNAcentral